UACAGAGGUCUCAAGCGUUGUUCGGAUUCAUUGGGCGUAAAGGGUGUGUAGGUGGCGCCGUAAGUGGGGUGUGAAAUCUCGGGGCUUAACUCCGAAACUGCAUUCCAUACUGCGGUGCUUGAGGACUGGAGAGGAGACUGGAAUUCAUGGUGUAGCAGUGAAAUGCGUAGAGAUCAUGAGGAAGACCAGUGGCGAAGGCGGGUCUCUGGACAGUUCCUGACACUGAGGUGCAAAAGCGUGGGGAGCAAACAGG
RNAcentral lists this ribosomal RNA (253 nucleotides) under uncultured bacterium. RNAcentral describes it as "partial 16S ribosomal RNA". It matches the Rfam family "Bacterial small subunit ribosomal RNA", at positions 524 to 776 of the family's 1533-position model. The record is from RNAcentral.